This is an RNA transcript of Falco peregrinus (peregrine falcon), 5392 nucleotides long. It is a transcript of the gene named fucosyltransferase 11, with no coding region annotated. The transcript has 4 exons. The record is from RefSeq and is a predicted model, not a curated record. Lineage: Eukaryota; Metazoa; Chordata; Aves; Falconiformes; Falconidae.
CACCCGCAGCCGGCGGGCGGCGCGGCACCGCCGCACCAGGGCCCUCAUCUUCUACGGCACCGACUUCCGCGCCUACGAGGCGCCGCUGCCCCGCCUGCCCCACCAGGCCUGGGCGCUCUUCCACGAGGAGUCGCCCAUGAACAACUACCUGCUCUCGCACCCGCCCGGCAUCGGGCUCUUCAACUACACGGCCACCUUCCGCCGCCACUCCGACUACCCGCUGACCCUGCAGUGGCUGCCGGCCGCCGGCUACCUGCGCGGGCCCGCCGUGCCGCUGGCACACAAGGAUGAGUGGCGGCGGCGGGGCUACGCGCCCGUGCUCUACCUGCAGUCCCACUGCGACGUCCCCUCCGACCGCGAUCGCUACGUGCGUGAGCUGAUGAAGUACAUCCAGGUUGACUCCUAUGGGAAAUGCCUGCAUAACCGUGACCUUCCCAGUGAGCGACUGCGAGACACCUCUACAGCCACGACAGAAGAUUCUGAAUUUAUGACUUUUAUCGCCAGGUACAAGUUCCACUUGGCCUUGGAGAAUGCCAUCUGUGACGACUACAUGACAGAGAAGCUGUGGCGUCCCAUGCACUUGGGUGCUGUCCCAGUAUACCGAGGCUCCCCAACUGUGCGGGACUGGAUGCCAAACAACCACUCCAUCAUUCUGAUAGAUGACUUUGACAGCCCCCAAGAGCUGGCAAAGUAUCUUGAUUUCCUGGACAAGAAUGGAGAGGAAUAUCUGAAGUAUCUAGAGUAUAAAAACCCUGGUGGAAUCAAAAACCAGUUCUUGCUAGAGAGCUUGGAGAGGCGGGAGUGGGGUGUGAAUGACAUGACUCUGCCCAAUUACCUGAAUGGCUUCGAGUGUUUCAUCUGUGACAGGGAGAACAUCCGGGCCAAAGAGGAGCAGGAACACAGAAAGUCUCACGGGAAAAUUCCAGCUCCCAAACCUCGCAUAGCUCAGUUCAAGCACAUGGGAUGUCCUAUGCCAACCCCCGGGUUUGGAAGCAUUGAAGACCUCUCUGAAGGAGACAGUUGGAAAGAGAUGUGGCUGCAGGAUUACUGGCAAAGCCUUGACCAGGGCGAGGCCCUCACUGCUAUGAUUCAUCGCAAUGAGUCACAUCAGGGAAGAUUUUGGGACUAUAUGCAUGAGAUUUUUCUCAAGAGGACGAGGCAACACUGACCCAUCUUUGCAAGAGCUUGAUUUGGAAACUGCAUUGAAAGUUGAGCCCUGAGCAUUCUUAUCUCGCUCCAGAUGUUGGCCUUGAAAUAGAAGAACUCUUGCAGAGACUUUUUUUUCUGGUGCAUGAAGAAUAACAGGAGGAAGAACCAACAUAAGCAGGUGUAUCAUAGCACCUGCUUAGUUUGCGAUGAGCGAUGUCCAAAAGCCUCACUUUGCCUUCCCGCUCGGCAAAAUGAGCGUGUUUGUCAGCUAACAGCAGCAUUGACGCUAUGGUGGUACAAACUUCAGAAUAGCUAGCACACCAGGUAAAAACUUAUUCCUUGGGACCCUGAUUCAUUGAUUUGCUAGUUCCCAACCAAGUGUUCCUUUACUGCUCUUUGUCUGCGCUGCGUGUAUUGCAGUCGCCAGUCAACUGGCGAUAACAACUUUGUUAGUCCUACAGGGUUUUUUUUGUUUGAGUUUUUUUGCUAUGUGUAUGUACUUCAGAAGGCUGUUGCUUUGAGCUCCAUGACUGUUGCCAAGCAUCAGUAUUUCAUAUUGCCACAUCCCUUCUUAACACCGGUAUGAAAGCAGCACAGAUAUGAAAGUAACUUUAUCAGAUAUUCUGUGGGUUUUGUCUGAGUUUUUCAAAUGCCAACUUUCAGUUUGUAGUUAUGAGACAGGAGUCAGUUGUAAUAGCUUUCUCUUAUGGCUGCUUAGUGCCUUCCUAGGUUUAACUAUUUUUUACAGUCUUACUGGUGUUGAACUUCUCAAAAGGUAAUGAGUAUCAGCUACUGCUCCUUGCAGCCAUGACGCUCACCCAAGCCUUGUGUUUUUCUUGUACCUGCAUUUUUUUCUGUGGUAAUAGAUCACACUCGCUUGUCUCCCGUAUGUCACGAUAUGUCCGUGUUUUAUAAACAGUGUGUCUGUUGCCUACUUUAAUACACUAAAUGUGUUUCACUUAUUAUACAUGGUGCACAAGGAUUAAACCGAAAUAUUUCUUCCAGUGCUUAGUAUGAAUAGCUUGUGUUGCUGCCAGGCAGACUCCUCAGGGCGGGAGAGGUGGGAAUCCUCCCCAGCUGGCGCAGGAGUUGGGUUUGCAGCUCUGUUCCCAGCUGCUGACUGACCUUCACAACAACCGCUUCUCUGCACAGCAAGGGCUGCAAAAUGCUGAAUAAAGGUGGUUCUGCCACCAGGGCUUUGCUUUCGUCUCUCCUGUUAUUUGGAGGAGGCAGGAGGAGAAGCUGGGUCUCAUACCCUUGAGGAGUAUACAAUUAACCUAAUGAUGCAUUUGAAAGGAUUGCUAUAUAACGUCCAAAGACUACUGCUAGUCUUAGCCAAAGUGAAUUUAAUUUAUGAUCCUAGUUGUCUUCCUACUAAUGCGAGUAUGUGAAUGCAGACAAGGAGGAAGGUCACUGCAGCAACUGUUAGUAUUUUGGGAAAAGGUUUCUGGUUUCUGCUCUUGACUACCAACUGGAUUUCUCAUUUCACUGCUUUAAAUCCAAACCAGCUACAUGGCUGAACGUCAUCACUUGUGUUGUGACUGCUGGAAGGCUUACACUUUUCAGUCUGAGCAUUGUAUAUGCAGCAUCUUUCUUAAUGACAUUCUUACAGUGCAGGUGCCCAUACUCAUAAAAACCACACAACUGAGACUAGUCUGGAAUUUUAGUGAAGUUACAAAUAUUGACGAUGAUAAAGAGAUUACUUCUGUAAACCCUUUAGUAGACUUCUGCUAACUAGGGUGAGUCACUUCACUGCUUGUCAUGCAUUUUGCCCGUUUACUGUGUGACUAGAGGGAGGAUUUCAAAGUUGCCAGGAUAGCAUUAUUCACUAACGUUAACGUCCUGAAAAUAGCUGUCUCCUCAUUGCUGCUCAUAUGACACACUAGUAGAUUUUCUAUAUGGAUGCUGUGUCUCAGAAUUGACUUGACAAGCUAGGACAUGUUUAUGCUUUCUGAGAAGGGAGAGAGGAGAAGCAACUGUCUGACAGAAGGUUAAAAAUCUAGCAAUGCAGUUCAUUGCAUCGGAGAAGCUCAAGUUCUCAUUCCCUUGCCAAAACUGUGAUAUCAGGUGCUGCCUGUUUUUUUCAGUAAAAAGCUGGCUAUUUUAUAUACUGAGCUAGUAGUCUGUGUUUUCUGCCCUUUAGCAAGGGGUGCAAUGUUUAGAGGAAGCAUAUAAUCCCACUGAAGACUACUGAUUUGAUACCUAACAUCGGUCAUUUCUACAAAUGAAAAAAUAACUGCCUUCUCUUAUUUCUGUCACUGUAGUAAUUUUCAAACUGAAGGAUCUCCGAGUCCUCUGUGAUGGUAAGUAGAAUGAGAGCCAAGCAACAAUGGAUGUGUAUGUUUAGAGGGAAAGAAGAAUAAAACCUGGAAAAGGUCUGCAACGUGCAGCAGCUGGAGAAUCGCAGCAGAAAUGCCCCUCUUGCACCUUGACAGUGGGUAGUUUUAACCAGCAUGGAAGAACAAGUAACUCCUGAAGGACUGGGAACAGGAUAAAUGGCAUCAACACGCAGCCGUCGGGGACAUCACUGUUUAAGCAGGCUUUGCCAUGUUAGACAAGCAGCCAUCUGCCUCCCUUACCAUCCCGCCAUAUGCACUCUUCAGCCACUGUCCCGAGAGAGCCGCUCCCUUAAUGAUCAGUUGUCAUCCAUUUGGUUGGAUUUAAUUAAGAUUGUUAUGGAUCUCUAGGCACCUUUUGAGAAGUUGUAUUAAUUGGAAACAAACAGGAUGGCAGGUUCCUUCAUUCUGCCCAGAGACCUCUACUGACAGGUCGAAAUUAAUCAGGGAAAAAAUCCUUUUAGUGAUAGGAGCAGCUGAGCCAAAACCUGUGUCAGGCUUUAACAAACUGCACUUCUCUUAUCAUUCAGUGUCUCGGAUCUGGCAGUGAGAGAUACAUGGCCCUGCAGAGGGAUUAGGGAGGUGGAGAAGAACGGAGCUGCAGGAUUUGUUCCAGAGCUCCGACAUGACUGGCAUCUUAAUUUGUAUGCUGUUACAUGCAUUCUUUCCCGCAGAAAAGACCCAUCUAAUGCUGAAGCAUCUCAGCUAAAGAUAGUUCUGGGGAUCUUGGAACGGAUCAGAGCAGAUCACGAUGCUUUGUGGCAUCUCUGAGCAAAUGAGGAGGCAUCAGGUAAUUUGUAGUGGAAAUGGGCUGGAUCUGAGUAGAUCUGGGAAUUAGAGAUUAGGGAUGGCAGCUCAGAACUAGUCAGGUGGAUGGAAUAACGCAGGGUGGCUGACCUGACUGACAACUCAGGAUAAGGCAGGCCAGCAUUGGAGGUGGGGCAGGGGGUGGCAUACCAGAACAGAAAUUGCAUCUGUCAUUGUGCUAAUGAAUGCACUUGUGCUAAUAAGUGCAUUAAGUGCUAAUACUGUCCAAGCACAAUAGCUCAGCAGGCAGGAGUAAAUCUGAAUCGACUGGAAUCUUAGCAAACCAGUUAGUUUCACUACUAGAGUUGAAGUGGGGGUGCUUAACUUUCUAGGCAUCUCCAAUUAAAUUGGAGUUUGAGGUGAGGGUGAGACAGCUAAGAAUAAAUUGUGGUAGGUGAGGGCAUUAUGAUUUUGUAUGAAGAGAACUGGAGCAUUCAGGAUAAAUGUGGUGUCGUGGCUUAAACCAGUACACUUGGGUGAAUAUACUGGAAUUUACCUGAAAGCUGGAUUCAAGCAGUUCAGAAAGACAUGGAUAUCAACCCUGUUCAUUGCUCCCAGUUCAACUGAUUUCUUAGUCUCAUUCCCUAAGUGGGUUUUAGGCAGUGCCUGAAGGUUUUGCACAGUUACUCCAUAAAGCAAAGAAUCCAUGGUGUAAUUUCUCACCUCUUAAAAGAUGUAUUUAAGAAAACAGUCACAUUUUAAGGGUGUAUUUUAUUACAGCAUUGAUAGCACUGUAUUAAUUGUGGCAUGGUAUUUACUGCAGCAUCGUAACUGGCCCUUAUUCCAGUUGUGAUAGAUUCUUGUCAAAUCUAAUAGUUUAAUCUCUAUCAUUCAUUUUGGUUUUGACUAGCAGAAAUGUAGGCUAGGAUUCAGCUUUAACUAUGUUGAUCCAAGUAAAGAAGUUGUAAAUGCAGUUAGAUUUUUAAGUGUUCUUUACAGUUGUACAUUCAGCAUUGGCAAUGGAACACCUGCGGGUUUCACUGCUCAGUGUGUCGACGGAAUUGGGUUUCUGACUGUCCCUUUAAAGCUGGCGCUUCCAGCCCACCCACUGGUGUCUCUGUGUCAGCCAUCAGCUGUACAAAAUACAGGCUAUAGAGUGA